CUUUCAUGUGUGGUAUUUGUUUGGCUUUCCAGUAGGGCUUUUUGUUGAUCACUUCAACGAAAGUGCUUUUAAGAGAAGUACCUUUCUACUUGUUUUGUGUUUGGUAACUUGUAAUGCAGAAAAUUUUUUAGAAAGUAUUUGGUCCCAGUUCAGUGUAAGGACUUCAAGGUAAUUUAUAGGUCUACAUUAAUUAUAGGUCUACGUAAUUCACAUGAAUCUCUAAUCCAUCUAUAGAUUAAUUAUAGGUCUACGUAAUUCACAUGAAUCUCUAAUCCAUCUAUUCUUAAGUAGGUUAAGCUUAAAUAAAAUAGGUAUUCCAUAUAAGCACAAGCUGAAAUCUAGAUUUUAAAGCUUCUUGCAAAAGUACUUUUGAAAGGAGACCUAGGAAAGAGCUAAGCUAUUCGCCAAGCUGGGGCAAACAAAGCCAUCAGGCCCUACCGGAAUAGGAAUGCGAAGGCCUUUCCUUCGAAAGAAGACCCGGGAAAGAGUUAUGCUAUUGACCAACCCCCUUUAACUUAUACAUGAGAACAUUUUUUUUCAACAUUAUCAAACAUAUUCUAUAAUUUCCUUCGAAGAAGUGAUUUAAGCUGGUUAAGUGAUGUUUAUAUAGGUGAUGCCAAAGACACAUGGUUAGCGCCAUCCAUGAUAACAAUGCUUUUCACCAAGAAGAAUAUUGAGAUAAAACGCUAUACAAGCAUAAAAUUCUGCAAACAAAGAUGCGUGCAAACAACAGGUCCAUGUCAUGAUCAAGAGGACUUACACAUACUUUUCUACAACCAAAAAAGAAAAAAAAAAUCAUCUUUUGCUCGAAGAUAUCCUAAAUUGAGAUGCUUUCUUUCUUGUGACCUAAAUAUUGAGGUAAUUUCAAAAAAAAGGAUGGCCAAUGAAACAACAGUUCCACAUCAAGAUCAAGAAAAGGACUUACUUUCCAUACUAUCAUACAAGUAAAAAUAAAUAAAUAAAUAAAUAAACAUCGUUUGCACUACAAAAUCUUACAUUUGGAGUGCCCUCUUCCAACAAAUUGGUCUGCCAAUCAAGAUCAAGAGAUGAUUUUUUUUCUCUCUUUAUAAUGACCUAAAUAUUAAUGUAAUUUCAAGAAGAAGGACGGUAGAUAAAACCACAGUUCCACAUCAAGAUCAAGAAAAGGACUUAGUUUGCAUUCAAUUAUGCAAGUAGAAAAAAAUAAACAUCUUUUGCACUACAAAAUCUAACAUUUAGAGUGCGUUUUUUUCUCUUUAUCAUGACCCAAAUAUUAAGGUAAUUUCAAGAAGAAAGACGGGAAAUGAAACAACAGUCCACAUCAAGAUCAAGAAAGGACUUAAUUUCCAUACUAUUAUACCAGUUAAAAAAUUUUAAAAAGAAAAACAUCUGCAAUACAGAAUCUUACAUUUGGGGCGCGCUCUGCCAACAAAUUGGUUAGAAAUCAAGAGCAAGAGAUGAUUUUUCUUUCCUGUGACCUAAAUAUUAAGCUAAUUUCAAGAAAAGGAUGAGACAAAGGGGGAGUACGCACGUCGAGCUCGAGGAGGAUCCACUCCUUGGUAUUAGUAGCGGUGGACCAGUGGGUGCGGAGAUCGGAGUCGAGGACGUUGGCGGCCUUCUGGGCGGGGGAUUCGCGGGACAUGGCCUUGACCUUGUAGGCCAGGGGCUUCACCCGGGGCUCCAACUCCAUCUCCAUCCUCCCCUUCCCCCCUCUUCUGAACUACGGUUAGCGCACCGGACGAACCCCUCUUCUUCUAUUCUACCAGCUAGCUUCGUCUCCUUCCUACGAUAUGGUUCAGAGAGAGUGAACGAAGAAGCGAGAAGAGAGCGGGGACUCGAUGACAGAAAAACGAGGAGAUCAAGAAAAGGAGAGUUAAUCGACGCCUCUCGAGUCCCCCUCCUCCAUUCAAUGCACACGCUUGCGUAUCGCACGUGCGGUACGUGUGGUAAAACCUAUAGCAAGUGCGAGAGUCCGGUGCGUAUGCAAUGCACGUGAUCUUCUUUAGGAUUUGGCAAAUGUACCAGAGUUCUCGAAGCAUUCGCCCAAAAAAAAAAAGAAAUGAUAGAGUUUGUUUUCAAAAAUUUAGGUGCAACUAGGGCUGUGAAUGGAUUGGGGUGACCCCUCAUCCUAACCUGAUUAGACCUAAUCCAUUCCGUAUUCGAAGAUCUAGGGGCUGGUUCAAAAAUUGGAUCUAAUCUAAAUUCCAAACCGGACAUAUUUGAGUAAAUGAAAAACAAACACAGCCCGACCCAAAUUAAAUAUGGUUUAACCUAAAAAUUGGAAUCACUGAAUGAACUCUUAUUUAAACUAAUUCAUUUUUUUUCAAUUCAACAACUACAUCUCCUUUCAUAUACUUUGACUUAAUUAUAAUUAGACGUUCAUAAUUUAUUAUUUGUUUUGAUGAAUUUUAACCCCAAAUAUGCAUAAAUACAUACAUACAUAUAUAUAUUAGAAAUUGUAGUUUAUAAACUUUAGAAUGAUCACUUGCUCAGAUAAAAUUGAAAGUUGUUGAAUGAAAAAUCAAUUUUAAAUUAUUUUUUAGUUUUUAUUUAUAUUCUUUAGUGUUUUAUAUUUAAUUAUCAGUUGCUAUAUUUUAGCUAUAAAAAAGUAGCUAGAUGUUUGACUUCAUUUGCAAAUCUGAUCUGACCUUGUCCCUAUAUAAAUCUAUGUAUUUUCGGGUUGAGUCCGAGUAUACUUGACCACGACACAGCUCCAAUGACCCGCUAGAUCAAAUUCUUUAUGUUGAUCCAACUUGACCUGAUCCAAUCAGGUAAUAGGUUAGUUACAAGUCCAAAAAUAUGACCCAAAUAUGAAAUUAGAUCGGGCUGAAGUCCAGCAUAUCUUAACCUGAUCCGACCCAUUUGCAGCUUGAGUCGCAACUCAAAGAGUUGCUUUGAGCUCUCAUUCAUGUGUGCAACAAUGCACGUGAUUUAAAAGCCUGAAAUGCUGAAGGAAAGAGAAAGCAUGCAAAGUAGAUCUCUAAAAAAAAAAAUCUUGAGUUAUAGAAAAAAUAUUAAAAUAAUGGAGUCCAUCACAGUGGAUCUCUAGGAUCGGGAAGGAUAUCUAAUAUUGAAAAAUAUUAAAUUAAGGGAGUCCAAACUGGUGUGGUAUUGAAACAAGUGACGUUCCAUGAUGAUAAAUUUUGUAGAAAAGAGUACAUAUAUAAAUUAAUCUAACCUUAGAUUUUUGAAGGCAGUCCAUAUAUUUUAGAUUGCCUCAUUAGGCGCUAGUAGCCUAACAACUAACAUUCAUGUAGUCACUGGGAGGUCUCAUUGAGUUAGAGUUAGAGCUCCUGUCAUACAUACAUAUGCCUUCAUAGGUUCUUCUUCUUCUUCUCCUUCUUUCCGGGGACAGUGAGAGAUGAAGGCCCCUUGUUUAGUGCAUCUAAGUUGGUAGUCAAAACAGAGCAAACACUAAAAAUUAGGUAACUCCAGUAACUCAACUUGCAAGCUAUUAAAUAUACAAACAUAAAUGAAACAAAGCGUUAAUCAAGUGUGCAGUAAAUUGUAUCCUUGUUCCUUGAAUUUACAGUGUGCUAUAAGAUAAUAUCUUAUCAUCACGUACAAAUUAGGUUCAAAGUUUGCUUUCAAAGUUCAAAGCAAGAGAGGGAUGUUCAACUCCAUGAGCCUCAGCCUUGAUUUCGAUCCAUGCAUGACUAUAGUAAGCCUACUCCCUCCGAUCUCAAAAAAAUAAAAUAACGAAAAGAAAGAUGAGAAACACAAAAACUUGCAAGUAGCAUCAAAGUUACAUCAAUGAAAAACAAGAAUUGGUUAGCAAAUUAAAUAAUAAUCCAUAUGGAACAAAAAAAAAAAAUGUGAAGAAAUUCAAAUGCUUUGUUAAUAGCUUUGCCUCGACCACCUUUCCCUCAUUUAAUCGUGUUACGCAGCAAGAACCUGCAUUAUUCACUAGAUCAAAGUCUUCAAGAAAAUUUGGCCCUCACAAGCUUUGAUCACUAAGCAAAGUAAGAUAUUAUAUGCUGGUAUUGAAGCAUAUCUAAAAGGAACUAGCUCUAAUAAUCUUUUGACAGCGUUACAACAAUUUGCGGCCAAGAUAGACUUAUUCCAAUGGCAAGUUUCAGGGCAUACUCCAAUUUGGUAGUUUCUACCGUCUGUUCAUGGUUGAGCCCUGGGCUUCGGCAACAAAAUUAAAAAGCUUCUAACACCCAAUCAUUUUAGAUGGCACUUGCAUCUUUUCUCUUACUAUGGUUGCUGGUAUAAAGUUAGCUGAUGCGUACUCUUUAAAUCCCUUCAUUGCUUCUUCUCUAAGAAAAUAAGUUUAUGGGACCUUCUAUCUCCAUGCUACAUUGUUCCAUCAAAUUUUAACCCAUUAUGAAAAAUUUCUUAUUGCUGCCUCCCUUAGGAGUCUUGGUCGUGUCUCAAUCCUGAUGCAAUUGAUCAUCCUCUCAAACUAGCUACUGAUCAUUGCCUUGGUAAGUUAUUACCUCACUAAUUAGCUAAGUAGAUGCAAGCCUUUUCUCGGGCAGAUUCCUCCUUUUACUCCUCAGCCUGCAAGUAUUAGCAAACAAAACUUUGAAUUUUGCCGAGAAACCAAUUUUAGUCUCAAGAUUUAAUCUAGAAGAGUAUAUGAAAUCUAUAGUAGAUUUUGUGAAAAGAAAUAAACAAAUUACUACUAACACAAGUUAUGCAACUGACGAAUGUACUUUCCACAUUUGAUGGUAAAAUGAGAAAAGAAAGUAGUUCUUUGAAGUCAAAUCAUACAAAGAGGAACUUUAGGGCAUUAUAGUGAAGUCAUCUUUAACAUGUCAUAAUAUGCGAUGCAAUAUAUAAGGGAUUAUUUUUCACUAAAUAUUAACAUGUCUCAACAUUCAUGGACAAUGUUGAUUUUUAAUAUUCAAGCAUCUUGCAUUGUUUUAUCCUAUUUAUGCUAUCUCUAAUUUCAAUUCUAUAGCUUGCAUUAUGUAUGAUACACAAAGCUAUUGACUAUAGAGGGUACUAAUAAUCUCACAUUGGAUGGGAAAGGGAUCUUAGUGGUGCUUUUAUACUUAUGAGCCCAUCCUUGGUGGUGCUUAAUUAGAUACCCAUGCGCUUAUCCACCUAUUAUCUUAAGCUUUUGGGUUGGACUCUAACAAGCUUCUUGGUUGGUCUUUAAUAUUGAUCACCUCAAUGAUAAUCUAUUGACAUAUGACAAUUUAAAAUAUUCACAAUGUACAAAAAUGAAAACAGGAAACUAGGCAAAAUGGUAAAAUUUUCUAGAAAUAGGAUGCAACAUGUAAUGCCUUGUUAGUAUGAGAUUGUAAAACCACACAGUUUGUAGAAGGUCUGAUUGUGCAGCUACAAGGAGACUCGAUUGCUAAUGUUUUGUCUGAGAAGGUAGAAGCUUACAAUUUUCUUCAGAUUGCAAACCACUCAUUCUCAAAUCACAAGAUAAAGCUCAUGUGUCCAUGUUAACACAUCAAUUUGCCCUACAUCUUCUUCGUUAUUAUUCAUAAGAGCUCAUUUGGUUUGCUGGAAGAGGAGAGGGGAUAGUGUGCUCAAGAGAAAAAUAGAUAAAUACCUCAUAUUUGGUUGGAGUUUUCAAAUUAAUAAGAGAAACGAGGAAGUAGCUUUUUCAUAAAAAUAAAAUUUUCAUAUUUUAUGAAAAAGAAAAACCCAUGUAGGAUAUGGAAAAGUCCAAUUCAUACUAGUUGGAAAUUGAGGGGUUUUUUUUCAAAAAUGCCCUCAAGCUUUUAGAUAGAUGGGAUAAAAAAAUUUUCUUUAUUAAGGGUAUAACAGACAUUUUGCAUAACUUUUUUCUGAAAAGUAGAUAUUCAAUCAGAUAUAGGUCAUUUUAUAAUGCGUCACUUUUUCAUGAUCAAUCAAACAUGCAAAAACCAUUUUUUAAGCAUCAUAUAUCCAUGCAUCAGCUUUCCGAAAAAAAUAUUUCAAUGAGAAAAAAUUCUUCAUGCAAACCAAACCAGCCCUAAAGAGUAGAUCUACCACAAGCAAACAAUAGUCAUGACAAAAAUUAUAAAGAAAAAAAAAAGAAAACUAGAGCACCACACAAAGACAACCAAUAAAAAUAAGUACAAAGUAACACAUGCGAAUCAAGAAUAUAGGAUGUAUUAUAGCAAUACCAUGCCACUGAAUGGAGCUAAAACAUAACUGAAGGAGUAUACGUAGGCUAGGAAUGGUUUAUCUAAAUGAAUCUAAGUAAUUAUAAAAAAGCAAGGUUUGUCAUAUGUAACUUCAAAACAAGCUCUGACACGAGCAUCUCCAUGCACUUGUAUGCAAGCCUCUUUGCAUUCCAUAGAUUAGAAAAUUCUUGAAUAGUUUAUAAUAUUAACAUGAAUCCAUCCCUAUGUACUUUGAACCAAUCAACGGAUGCAUCUAGCACAAGAUAUGGGCUAAGACUAGUCUCGUGUUGGAUUAGAGAGGGAUUAAACUCCUUUGAAUCCCAACAAGGUUCUGGGUAUCAUAUCUUCUUAGACUUCCAGAGCAAAACAAUUUGACUUGGGCCAUCUUUCAAGCAGGCCUACUAAAAUCUAUCUGUUUACACAUAUACAAGAUAAGAAGUAUAUAUGACUUUUUGGUUUAAAAAGACAAAUUGUUUCAUUUGGUGCACUCAAUCCAUACCUGAGCCCCUUAUCUUACCAAGGCUUUAUGUUCUUUGGCUCGCAUAAAUACAUGACCGUAUUCUCUAGAAUACUUCAUAUCACUUUAUCCUUUCUUGGUUGGAUUUAUUUUAUUUUUUUUAAAAAAAAAUCCUUCCUUCAGUGCAACCUUAAUACUAUGUUUUGCAUAUAUAAAAACAAGAAUUACUCUUUUCAAAGUAAUCUCAUAACAAUAUCUUCCAACCAUUUCAACAGUCAGUCAUGAAUACUGUAAUGUAUUCAAACUACUAACUACUAAAAAAUUGUAAUUCAAGCAAUUAUGUCCGUGUUUAAAUAUUUAUUUCAAACUCUGUAUGUCUAUCCUCUUUGUUUUCAUACUAUCUUAAACACAAGUGAACAUCAUCACUUCUAUGGCCGAAUUGUUCAUCUAACAGUAAUGUUUGAUGUUUUGGUACUACUAGCAAUGUCAAUACCUCACCAAUAUGAUAGGAAUUAACCUAUUCAUGCAGCAUGAAUGUUACCAACAUACAAAAUACCAGAACCUCACCAAGAUAUUAUCAUACCUGGUGCUCAAAUCCAUGGAUAGCAGUGAUACUAUCUUCCCCAAUCCAGUCUCAUUACUACAUGGCUAUCAAAUGUCAAAUACUUUCUGGUGCAUAUAAAGAUGACGCCUAACAAAAGAAAGAUAACAACCAGUCUAUAGCAUUUCAUAGCACCACUAGUUAUAUAGGGUGAUGGGCUUUAUUUCCAUGAAUCUACAUAAUAUGACUAUACUCUGAACAACUUGGUUGUGCUUGGACUAACUUUUACAACCUUAUCCUUUAAAAGUGUCCACCUUAUUUCCAAUUAGCACCACCCUCUGUUUUCCUCCACCUUCUGCACAAAUUAUUUCACCAAAUAUGAAACUGAAAUAAAAAAUCAUUUCCUCCACCUUAUCCGCGACUUGCAUAUAUUUAUUUAUCAAUCCCAUGAUAUAUCACGAGUAUCAUAUUGAGGCUCCAAUUUGUGGAAACUUUCAGCUUCUCUAUGGAUUAUAUAUUGAAGAAAAGGGAGAGACAAAAAAACACUAGUAGACCCCCUAAUUCAAUGUUUAGUUAUCUAUAAAUAACUAUUUGUAUUGUACCAAAAAAAAUAACUAUUUAUAGAGAUUAUAGAUUAUAUGGAUUAAGGCAAGACAAAAUCUCAUAUAUAGACUUGCAAAAAUAUAUGUUUUCUCUAUAUUCUCCGGUGUGGAACUAAGCUUAGAAAUAAUGGAGGAAAGCUAUAUCUAACCUUCUAUAGGCUUUCUAUUAAUGGUGGACCUAGUUGACAAAAAAUGACUAUCGGUUCCCUAAAGGUUCAAGUCCCACAAAGAUUAUGAAUCUUGACACCAGUUUAGAUUGACUAACCCAAUUUAAGAAAAUCGUUGUUAUUAAGGCUAGAAAAAUAUUGAACUUAGGAUGUUCUGAUUCGAUUAAUUUUAUAAUCUAAUGAAGGCAGAUUCUAGGGCCACAUCAUUAAUGGAACAAAAUCUAAUAAAAAAAAAAUCCAAUUGGAGAUAAGUUGCCAAUGAAUAUCAUAGAGUAGGUCAAAACGAAAGAGAAGUUAGACAUGAUCCGUGCACCAUUUUUUCACAUAUCUUGCUCACCUGAUAUGGUAUGAAUAUUUCGAUUCAAGAAGAUAUAAUUUUGCCGGUCGAGCUCAUCUAUUCUACUAUAUGAUGCAAACUCUCUUAAUUCUCCAUUUAUGAUGCAUCUCCUUCUAUUUAUGUUUCGAUAUAAUUUUAGUAACUAAAGAUUUUGUGAGGCCCACAUAUUUUAAAGAGCGAAGGACAUAAUAAAAUAUUUUAGGUUUCUUAGUUUCGAAUGCAUGGACAAACACAUAUCUCAGGUUGAUUGCAAUCCAGGGCACAUGUAGUAUUGUCCAUAAAUGCAUAUGCCAAAAAUACAUCUUGCUUGUAUCUGAUCAAGAUAGGUAAACUUUAUAGAAAUAAUCUUUUCUAUAUUAAAACAUACAAUACAUGAUGACGGAUAAGGGUAUUUCAAAUAUCUAUAGAAGCAAAUAUAUACCUAAGAAAUAAGAUAACCUAACCCAAGAUGUGCACAAUUAUGCAGAGAAGUACGGAAAGAGAGCGCACAAGUACAAGAAGAAUAUACUAUAUAAAUAAUUUUUUAUGUUUCAACGAGACUAUGUUUAGGGCAUAAAGAAGUCUAGAAUCCACUUUAAUGUUACGGAUUAUAUUGGUCAAGAGAUUGCUUCCAAUACAAGCUUAGGAAUGCCACCGCUAUAAUAUGGCAUCUCUUAAUCUAUCUUGCUAGGCUAACACCUUCAAUGAUGACAAUCCAACUCUAAAACACUUUUUGGAUGCAUGUCCAAUAGCCUUGGAUCACAAGAGAACUUCAGCAAGAGGAAAUAGGAGAGUAUUAUCCAAAACUCUCUUCUCUUCCUGCUAACAAAAGAGCCUCUUCUACUUGCUUAAUUGGAGCUUUGGUUUUACUAAAUAAUAUUCUAUUAAGCAUUCUUUUGCAAAGCUUGUCUUUGUGGGGAAUCUUAGUAUGACCCUACUUCAAACUAAGCCAACAUAGAUGACAUAAAUGGGCCAAGUGGUGAUUUCGAUACACCAACCUAAUAAUAUUCUACUCAACCGACACGGUAUGCAUGAAUCACUAAAAUUGCAUCGACAAAGUCAUGAUCUGCCAAUCGAUCUCAUUUUUGUCAAACACGAGAUCAUAUUAUAUAGUUCAAUUUGUAUCAUCGAUGUACAUGUAAUUGGUUGUUACCUUGUUAAACUGCUCCUCUGCCUAACAAUGGUCCCAAAAGAGGCUCCAUUGCCACAUGUUAGACAAGGAUUACGCUUUACCCUACCAUAUUUUUCAUUUAUCUCAUGAAUCAUAGCAAUUUCCUUGUGCCAUACAGAAUAAAAUAUUGAGUUUUCCUAUAAUAUGAACAUAUAUGAUAUUUUAUUGUAUAGAAAAAGUGAUCUUGACUAUUCAUUGAUUGAGGGUAUUAUAUAAAACUAGUACAGAAGCUAUCAAUUUUUUUGUUAAAAAAAAAACUCUAGCCUUCUAAUGGACCCAUCGUUCUUUUUUUUGGGGGGGGGGGGGCUCCAUUUGGCUUGGUUGGCGAGAAUGCUUGGUGGUGGUGGAGGCAGCUGUGACAGUGAAAGCGAUGGAGUUUGGUGGAGGCGGUGACGGUGAAAGCCUUAGAGGGUAGCGGAACUUCUCGGCGAUGCUGCCAAGGGAGUUCGCCGGCGAGACGACGAUACCGAUAGAGACGAGGCGUAGGGCAGGCAACAAGGCAUAACCAACAGCCCCGUCGGAAAGUGGUGAGCCUCCGAACUUUAGGAGGUGAACUCCGACAAGCAGGAAGAGGAUGGAGGCAGUAACACGCAAUAUAGUGCAACGUUCGCAGAAAACGAAAGAGUGGAUCCGGACAUUCUCCUGCAUAAAAUUACAAAAAAUGUUUUUUUUUUUUCUAGCUUGACCUCAGAAGCAAGCCUCCAAUCGCAUUUACCAAGUCAAGGUAUAAUAUGUAAGCUCGAUUAAUGUCUAAUAUAAAACCUAGUUUAACUUUUUAUUAUAUGAUUCUUGCGUGUACAUGGCCACGUGGUCCGGCAAACUUUUAAUUUUAGAAUGCGGACUUUUUCUGGAUGACUUCGGAUGAUAAGUAGCCACCAACGAAAAUGAUCUCUAAGGUGCGUGUGUAUGUGUGUAUAUACACGCUUAAAAAAAUUGCUGUCUUCAAAAAAAGAGCGCACACGUGGAGCGAUGAAAAGACUCUCCCAUGAUGAUUGAGAAGAUCCAGAAUUCCGAACAUGCUGCUGGUGGGAUGCGAUUUCUCCACGACAUCCUUCAUCUUUUAGAUGAGUACACCUCUCAUCAAGCUACUCAUAUUUAUAGAGAUGCCAACAGUGCUGUGGAUUUGAUAUAUCCUAUGCAGCUCAUUAUUCUGAAGAUUUUAUUUAGAAGAACCACGUCUAUGUUCCGUCUCCUUUGCAAUUUUUUUCUAUUUUCUGACUUUAUGGGCUGCACCUACAUUCGUUGUGUAUAAAUUGCCAAAUAAGUAAAAAAAAAAAAAAAAAAAAAAAAAGCAUCUAGCACCAGGGUGAGUCCAAACUUGGGCCCGUAAAAAUUGAAGCCUUCAACAUAAUUUGGAACAAGUCCACAAACAUUUUUUUUGAUCUGGCACUAAUAUGGCGUGCACGUUGACUAAAAUUUAUGAUACUAUUCCAACCUAAUCUGGUAGGUAAUUAAGUAUACAAAUCUAUACAUAGGUAGGUAUCUUAAGUAUAUAAUUAACUAUUACUCCCUCUGGGUUGGAGAAUCAGGAUUAAUGAUGGGUUUUAUUGCAUCAUAUUUUGACGAUGACAUAGAUUUGAUACUAGCAGAGGGAUAUUUUGGUGUAGCGUUAGUUUUUCCCGUCUGCGUCUCAUUUUAUAUAUGGAGGAAAUGAAAGCAUGCAUUGAAAGAUCUAUAGCAAAUAUUUACGUGAAUGUAUUUUUCGAUAUAUACGGAUGUAUUUUUACUAGGUUGGUCUAAUAAAUUUGAUUUUAUCAAAAAAAAAACAAUAUGGACUGGAUUGAUGUGAAAACUGAUGUGCACAAAGCUGUUGAUUUGAGCCACUAAGGUGGUAGCCUGGUGGUAAGGAGGUUUGGACUCCACUCGAGUUGUCCGGGUUCGAAACGCGCGAGCGUCGAUUAAAUCAGAGAACCGUAUGCCCCACGUCCGGAUGGCUCUGUGUGGAUAUGUUUUCCUUCCAUCAGUAGUGAGAUGGCGCUGGGGUGACGUAUUCACAUGCAUGUGGAUGGCCCAGUGGGAUUUCCCACGGAUUGGAGAGAGCACGUGGAAACUUGUGACCCGCAUUGAAUAUUUUCUGGUGGAAGGGGGUCCAGUGGAGGCUGCUACGCGGGUGGGUUCUGCCUCUCCCGGCCCCUUCCCUCCUACUUUUCACCAAAAAAAGCAGUUGACUUGAGAAAGAAAUAAAGCUUCUGCCAAAUGGCUAUAAUAAAGCUUAAAACUAGACUUCAAUUAGUUAAAGAACGAUCCAGUGGAAUGGAUCCACGAUUUGAACCAAACUACCAAAUAACUAAACCACAAUGCUUUUUCAAACUAAUGAGUCGACAACGGUAGGUGACCAAACUGGUCCCGCAAGUUCAAUUAUAUAUGAAAAAGGACACCAGCUCGUGUACGAAAAGUUCUCCUAGAGUAUUGAAUAAGAGAAUAUAUAUAUAUAUAGUACGACAAAAUUAGGAAACGUCUCACCUCACAUUCUAUCAAAAAACAGUGUCAAGCUAUCUCCACCCACUCAUAUAUUCUUUUAUUUCCUCAAGCUAAUGUAGAACAGAAUAUCGAGUCAAUUCAAGGGGUUGUUUGAUUCAUGAGGUGGUUGGAUCAUGAUAUAUAUGCCAUCACAGGAAACUGAGUUGGAAGCAUCCCAUCAUAUUUCCAAAGCUUGAUAUUUCUACUGCUAUAUCAUAUAAAAACUAUACUUUGCCAUUUGACUUCUUCAGGCGUAUAUAUAUAUAGUCUAGCCGGAUGAUGUGCCGGUCCUCCAACUUGGAGUUGGGCAGUCUGACCGAGCCAGGCUUCUGUCAUUUUUAAUGCAUGCACGUACCAAAAGAAGAGAAGGCGGGAUAGCCUAUGUCUUAGUUCUCCAUCCAAAAUGUUCUCCUUGUUACUUUACAGGUAAGUUGGCCAUAACAGAAUAUUAAACAAGCAUUAGUUUGACUUGGAGGCACGCUGCACCUAAAGCCUGUAAGCAGCUAUCCAAAAAUACUGUGAGAGAUGUAAAGUCUGACCAAGAGAGCCAAUGCCUCUCUCCCACCAACUCUACCAACUGAAGUUUGGACUGCAAAUAGAAAAAUAUCGAGCUGCCCAGCCGCAUCACUCAUCCAAAAAGAGUAACAUCUAAGGCAUAAUCCAACUAACGCUGCACUCACUCGUGGAAUAGAAAAAACCUGGAUUAGUAGGGAAUCCCACCAGCAGGAACCUCUCAAGAUUCUCUUAAUUUUUUGAGUUGGCAAGUUGUUGGGUUAGAAAAAAAUAAAAUAAUGAAAAAGAUUGGAAGAGAACAAUCCAGGCCGGCCGGGAACUCGGAUCCUUGACAACUAACUGGAUUUUUUUUGUUUUAAAAAAGAAUUACUUAUAUAUAUAUAUAUCUCUCUCUCUCAAGUUUUUAUAUUGUGUAUAUAUAUGAUCCUGUAAUUGCGAAUAGUUUUAUUUUGCACUAAUGUUCUCAUCGUGACAAUUAUUUGUCAGUUAAUACUCAAAUUCUUUAAUGGAAUACUGCAUGCUCCAUGUCAAACAACUUGCUAUCCUUGAUUUAUUAUGAAUCCAGCAUAGCAAAUUGUACUUGUAUAUGACUUGAAAAAAGUUAGCCUAUCUCACCGGUCUAAGUUCAAUUAAUUGGUUGCCAACCUUUUCAUCUGAAAAUAGAACUUAAAUUUGUAUCCAAACAAACAAACAAAAAAAUCUCAAAUCGCGAUGCGACGUCCCUACUUAUUAUUGUUUUUUUUAAAAAAAAAUGUGUCCACCGAACCCCUUGUACGUCUGCCGGAAAGAGCAAGUAAACGCACCCUACUGAGUGGACUUGGUCCUUCCUUGGCUGCGGUAGGAUCACAGUUAGAACGGUAAUCAAUAAUUUAAUAUAGCACAAGUUGACGCUGAGUAGUUUUCAAAUAUCCCCUAGAUAAGUGUGGUUGUUCAGAGGACAGAGAUGAAGCACCGAAAUAAAAGAUAACCAAAGAAGAACGUCAGCUAAAUAAAUAAAACAAGUGAUCCACCUACUCCUCCUGAUCGACAUUGCUUCGCCGGCAGACCCCACCAUAUCCGUUCAAAUGUUUGCGACCCAUUCCACAAUUAGAAGAGAAGAGAUGAGAUGAGAUGAGAUGAGCUGAGAAAGCUCUUUGCUGUCUGAAACCUUACAGCUAUAUAUUAUCAUAUGGCGUUUCUCUCUCAUACUCAUACCAUGCACCAGGACCACCUAUAUCAGUAUAAAAGCUGAGCGAACCCCAUGCCCAAGCCUCCAUUGCCAUUGCCUUCUCAAUCAACUUCACAACCCUUUGGAUCCAUCUCUCCUCUUGAAAUGGCUUCGGCCGGCGAUUCCAGCAGUUUCCAGGUCAAAAUCAUCAGCAAAACCCUCAUCAAAGCCUCCGACACCACAAUCCAACCCUACGUCCUCUACCCCUCCAACCUCGACCACCUCCCUAGCAACAUCCCCAGCCCGUUCCUCACCAUCUAUCCGAAGCCUCCCUCCGGCGGCGACUACUCCUCGGUCGCCGCCACCCUCCGGCGCACCCUCCCCACCUUCCUCAACUACUUCUUCCCCUUCACCGGUCGAAUCAGGCCCGACAGGAACGGCGUCCCGGAGGUCUACUGCAACAACGAGGGGGCCGAGCUCGUCGUCGCCCGCGCCGACAUCCGCCUUGCGGACGUCAAUUUCCACGACAAGUCCAAAUCCUUGGAACGAAUCGAGCUGCCGUACGAGGAGGAAAUCCCGCUCUCUAUCCAGGUUGUGGGCUUCGCCUGCGGCGGCUUCUCCAUCGUGUGGGGCGGCACCCACCUCCUCUCCGACGGCCAUGGCUUGUCUUUCCUUCCUACCCUCUGGACCGAGUAUGUCCGGACCGGCGAGCUCUCGAGAAUUCCCAACCACGACCGGUCCAUCUUCCGGCCCCGCUCGCCGCCCAGCUACUCCCCGGAGACGGACCGCUCCCUUGCAUGCUUGACCCCCGACGAUCUCAUCAACUCGCUCUCCGCCGGCGCCUUCGUCAAGCGGCUCUACCACGUCGACGGGAAGCACAUCGACCGCCUGCGCGAGCUGGCCAGCCGGGAGGGCCGCAGCGCCACCCGAAUGGAGGCCUUCUCGGCGUAUCUCUGGAAAUCCCUCGCGAAGGCCGUCGGGGACUCCGACGUCGGCUGCCGCAUGGCGUGGCUGGUCGAUGCCCGGCAGCGGCUAGGCCCCAAGUACACCGAGGCCAUGAAGGAUUACAUGGGGAACGUUAUCACGUUCGCGACGAAAGAAGCCGGCGUGGCGGAGCUCGUGAACGGCUCCUACUCGCAGGUCGCCGGCAUGGUGUCGGCGGCGGUGAAGGAGGUGGCGGACAACGCCGAGGACCACUUCCAGGAGAUGAUAGACUGGGUGGAAGGCCACAAGGUGGGGAAGAGGGCGAACCGGGUUCAGGUCGGGCUCGGUAGCCCGGCCCUAGUGGUGAGCUCCUUCCACCAUAUGAACAUGAACCUGGACUUUGGGCUCGGUCAGGCAGCCCUAGCAAUACCCGAUCUGCCUUGGGGGAGAUUGGGUUCGGCUUUUGUGAUCGUGCUAGCAAGCCCUAAGGGCGACGGCUCCUUGUACAUGAACGCCUACAUAUGGUCUCAGUUAGCCGUCGUGCUCGAGUCGGAUCCGGACCGUGUGUUCAAGCCUGCCACCGCCGAGGGUUUGGGCGUGGUCGAGCCUGCAUCUCAUCAGGUCUGGCUCAGUCGAUUGUAAUGAUCGAGACCGAUAUCGAUGGAUGCAAGCAGAUCUCUACAACUUAAUUAGGUUGCGCAUAAAUUUUAUAGUUUGGAAGCAUGCUCGCUGCAUGAUCGAUAAAAAUUAUUCAUGCAUGCAUCCUAAUCGUAGAAAUUUUCUGCAACUGCAGAUUGAAGAGGAUUUGUAGUCACUCCAAGGAGAAGAGCAAUGAUUGAAGGCGUCCUGCGUGUGAACUUUGAGUCGGUCUGUAACCUAAAAAUAUAAAGCUUUGUUUGGAAUGUUUGGGGACAAACAUUUGUAUUAUUUUAUUGUCGUCGAAGUGUGUAAUUAAUCUUGCCAUCCUACUCGUUUUGGUUAAGAAGUGAGUUCAGGAGUUGUUUUCACUUUUCGGCCAUUGUAUCUUGUCACCGCGAUGGAUAACGUCGAUCCCACGACUGCUUGACGCGCUCUUCCUGGCCCUACACACCAAACAAACGAAAAAAAAAAAAAGAAAGAAAAGAAAAGUUUCACUUGAAUAGGAAGCAAACGAGAGCUCUUCCCUUUCUAUCAUGAGAAAAUGCUCCCACCUUUUCCACUAGUUUGGCUUCCACUGAUACAUGAACACCUGUAGGAUGGCUAAUAUACAUCUCGGGAGGCUGCCUCUGCAAACUAAUACCUACGGAUGCAACGAAUAAGCAUUUGAGGUUUUAAUUUCCUCCAACACUGUAUGUUUUUUUUGUUUUAAAUAUACCUAUUGCUUCUUUCUAGAGAAAAGAAUGUAUCUAUUACCACUUUCUUAAGGAGAAUAUAAUGAUAAUAAUAUUUGAUUUGCUAGCAAAUAGAGUAAGUCAAUGCUAUAGGAAGUGGUAGAGGAGUUGUACCAUCUACGCUCCAUUCAAGAUAGUUUACUUCUCCAAAUUUCCUAAUUGACUGCCGUUAAUUUCCUCAAAAUCUGGCCCUUCUUUCAUUAUUUUUCUCUCUAUUAUCCUAACGAAAUUGGUGAAGCCUUAGCUUUCUCUUCUUUUAUUCUUCUUUUCUUUUUGUUAUCAUUAAAAAAGAAAGAAAGAAAUGAGCUUCCCAUGCACUAGAGAUUGCUAAUGGCACACGGAACAUUGUUGAUCUAUUACAUCAGAGGAAUCUCAAUAAUUGUUGUGUACCCUAGUUAGGAUGUAGCUAACUAUGUGAAGCUCCUAAUAUGCAAGCUCAACGGUAUGACGCUUGGAUCUACCCAAUAGCCGCUCCCGAUUCAACAUAUAUUAGCGUCGUGGCAUAUUUUAAUUGGUUGGAUCUUUUAAUGAGCUAUAGCAAAUUUAAAGACGUACCAAUUAGAAGCACUUAAAUAUUAUUUAUACUAUUUAUUAGAAUAUUCUAUAAUUAAAAUACAGGAGAUAUUUGUAUUCCAGUAAUCUCGCAACUUUGUCGCGCAUUUAAAUCAUGAGGAGUGGUUGGUUGCAAUUGGAGAGAUAAUCCCAUCCAAAACUUGGGUGGUUCGAUAAAGUCUUCUCAGCUAGCUUUCAAGAAGUCCAUUCCGCUACCAUGCAACUUGGGUUCUACUGGAUAAGUAAAAAAAAUAAUUUUUUUUUUUUGGUACCGAAUGGAAAAUAAUUAUUGAUUGCUUUGUGUGCUGCGACAAUUCAGCGUCUCUUGAUCAGCAUGUGUACUUGGAUCCAAUAUUUAACUCAAAAUUAUAAGAAUUUGUUCAAAAGUUUGGCAAGAUCUCCAUUGGUUGUACCUGCGUUAUUUUAUUAUUUCUAAGCAUAAAUUAAUUGCGUUUUUUAAUCUUUUGGUUAAAAAAGAAUGGAUACAGAGGUUAGGUUGCCCGGCGGUUGUUAAGAAGUCUAUAUAUGGUUUCCGUUGAUGAUGGAUGACACCUCCAUUGGAGGACAGCUCUAAUCCUAUCCGGAACCAAAUAAAACAAAGUUUUAUUUAGGUGGACUAGAAAACGUGGCUCAGAGUGCAUGUCUGACUUCGUCACAAAGUUUCCAUUAUUCUUUUCUCAUGGUUUUUAAACCAUCAUAUCUCAUGAGUUAUCAACUAGAUGAAUCAAAAUCUCAAUUUAUUUCAGUUGAUUUAAAGUAUAAUUUUUUAAAAAAAUUAUAGUUUUCGAAAACUCGGUCAAUAUUUAGGAGCCAAGACAUUGGAAUCACGUUCUUUAUAAUAAAUUUGUGAUUAAAAACUAUUUGAGCUAUCCAUUGGAAGAUUUGAUAGUUAAAAAAUUAUUUAAGUGAAAAAUGAUUGAAAGUAUUGGUUGAUAUGAAUAUAUCAUUUCCGCUAAGAUCUUUAAUUUUAUCAACUUUUAUCAGCUAGCCUAGAUAGUUGGGCUGAAAUUUGGUGCCCGGUGAUCUCCGCCGCGAUCAUGGCCAUGGUCAAGCCUUACAUUACAUUUGUAGGUUUGUAAUUUUGAGCAAGUCUCCAUUACAUUUUUGGGUGUGCAACAAGAAGACGGACGUGAGAUAUAUGCAUGACAUGCAGACUCCAGUUCAGUCAGUGCAGGCCAAGGAAUUUGAGGGUAGGAAAGGAUGAUAAGCUGCAAUCUUCAAGAGUAGAUAUGCUCUGGAUCACCCUUUCUUAUUGUUCCAGGCGUGUACUUUUCCAUGUUUAACUUGUCUUAUGGCUUUAAAGACUUUAUAAUUUCCUAGAGAGUAGGAUGAGCGUUCGUUACAAAAAAAAAAUUUACUUCAAUUCCAUGCAUGAACAGAUUGCAUGUCCACUCAGUCAAUAUAUGACUCGAGCCAUUACCAUAUUGUUUUCGACCAUAAAAGUUCUGACGUUGUAGACAUGUCAAAAUGUCGCCUAACCUAAAUGGUUGGAGCAUGACCAAUCCUUCGUCUUACAAAGAUUAUCCAUGCUAAGAUUCAAGAUGACCGAAGGACGUACGACUCUUUGCGCUUCAUGCAUGACGUCAAUUUUUUGGUUUGCGGCUGCUCGCCAUGGUUUGACUAAUUAACUUCUCCCCACCAAACCUACCACCCCCGUCUCCCCCCACAAAAUCAUUAUAUUUUGAUAUAUUAUUACUAUAUUCUAUUGUAUUUUAUAUAAUCAUAUAUUUAUACGAUCAACGAAUCAAAAUUAAUUAAUGAUGGAGAUCUAAACCAUUGAACAUGAUCUAUAUUGCAAAAGAUAUUUGAAAAUCAAUGUGAUUAUCAUUUGUUCUUCAACCAAUUCAAACCUCACUGUGAUUUGGACAUAAGUUUGGAAUAUCAUGGUGAUUAUAUUCUUAAAUACAAGUGGGCAACAAUUAUUGAGCUAAUUUCUUGUUGGUAAGACAGUGAUUGGCCGGUCCAUCGAAUCCUACACCAAUGAAAACUGCCAUGAUAGCGAUGCCAAUAAUCGUUAUUAUAACAGGCAGAGCAAUCCACAGUUGAAAGUCGAAUAGUAGCAGGCAUAGGAGGGAAAAAAAAAAAAACAAUUAUCCCCUUUGCUGGCUGCGAUUGGAAAUAAGAGCAUAAACAUGCCAAAAUCUAUACAAUACGUUAAAGGAGAGCCCGUGGUCUUCCGGAACAACAAGUGUCACAUUGAAGUUCGCCCAGAUGUCGGCGUCAGAGACAUCCACUUGGCGCCAUCCAACUAGUUUGAAAAGUUCGGAGUUUAGCAUUCUGUCACACCGAAAGAGAUCACUCUGCACCAUACCUUGAACAAAAAAAGAAGAGAACAGUGCCUAUCUUAAUGAAUGAACCGUGGAUUGCCCUCCCUCCUCCAUACUUGUCUGAAUGAAAUGUGAACCGUCUACCUUGCCUCCGGAGUAUGUAGCCCAUUGAAACAAGAAAAAAAACAAAAACCAGAAGAAAAAAAAAUGGAGGAAACACUACCUGUCUUAAUGAAUGAACCGUGAAUCGCCUUCCCUCCUCCAUAGUCAUGUGUAGCCCACUAAAAAAAAAAAGAGGCAGAGAACGAAAAAAUAAAGGAAACAGUACUGUCUUAGUGAAUGAACUAUGAAACGUAGUCUACUGAAAUAAGAAAAAAACAAAAGGUAGAGAAAAGAAAAACGAACGGAAUCAAUCUACAGGCAAGCAUGAUUGUGCCAUCACGCCGGCAAGCGGAUGUCUGCGGUUACCUCGCCUCACCGUAGCUGAGGCAGAUGACGACUGUAGCUGUACUGUCUUAAUGAAGCAAGAAAAAAAAAGCAUAAAAAAUAGAGGAGAUUAGUUUGCAGGCAUGCAUGACCGUGCCAUCCCGUUUGCAGGUGGAUGUCUGUGGUCACGUUGCCAUGCCUGCUGCAGGCACGGUCACUCCGUCAUCCUGGCCACGGUGAGGUGUGGAGAUCACUGCUCCGUUAUGUUGCUACCUAUAAAGCAUUGUGACCACAACUUAUUUCUUCUCUUCCGUGUCCCUUUCUCAUCAAAAUAUUGAAGGGUUGCUGCAGGAGACCUGCAACCGUCCUCUUCUCGUGUCAUCGUCUGAUAAAAGGAGGACACCGUUGAUCUAAAAUAUAAGUUUUUUCCUCUUCUUCUUCCUUGCCUAGGCUGAAACAUUGGGGGAUUUCUGCAAAAGAUUCGAUAGUCAUUAACUUCCUGUGUUGUGGGCACGAUAAAGGAAGGGGAGGAGGGAGGAAGUGGUGGCACUGUAGCAGGGGGUAGGAUUUGGAGGAGGGAGAUGAGCAUAGGACGAGAGAGGGAAUGAGCUGGAGCAGCGUCAAGAGAUAGCAGUGGGUAGGGGUUGGAGGAGGGAGAUGAGGAGAGGAUGAGAGAGGGAAUGCGCUAGAGCUCUCUGGAAGUUGCCUGGAAUUCUAGAGAGCUCACAGAUUUUAACUUGUACCGACAGAGAUCUCAAAGCGAUCUGAUGGUGGGGGCGAAUCAAUGUAUCGAUACGGGCCUCAGAGUGUUGGUGUAUGGGAUACGAGGAGAGGGUGAGAGAAGAAAUGAGCUGGAGCUCUCUGGAAUUCCAGAGGGCAAUUCAACGGCAAGGAGUCAACAUAUAGGUACGGACUUCAGAGCGUUGCCAUAGCCGAUAUAAGAAGAGCUAGAGAGAGAGAGAACAGAUCUCAAAGUGAGCCGGGAGUGGAAAAUACCAGCACGGCUCUCAAAGCAAUCCAGGGGUGGGUGAGGGAAGAAAGCGGAGCUCUUUGGAAUGUUCUGGAGAGCUCGAAGGGUUAGGUUGUAUCGACAUGGAUCUAAAAGUGAUUCAAUGCUAAGAGCAAAUUGGCAGAUGUGGGGAGAGGAAGGGGUGAAGAAAAUAUCAGCACGAAUCUCAAAAUGAUUUGGUUGAGAGUGGGAGAUUGGGCGGUAGGAUCGUGUGGAGGGAGAUGAGAAGAAGCUGAGGUAGAGAAAAAUACCGGCACGAAACUUAGAGCGAUCUGGUGGAGGGGGCCGAUUUGGGCGGUGGUGGACUCUGCUCCACCGAUGAUGCGCGGACCUCCGUGAAAGCCGACGUUGCCGGAGUUUAGGCGGAUCUCAAAGCAUUUUGAUGGGAGAGGGGUGGGGUGUGUAUGAUUGUGAAGAGGAGAGAGAUGAGAAGAGAGCAAGGGUGGCUGGAAAUAUCAGCGUCGAUCUCAAAGUUAUAUGGAUGAGAAAAGGGUGAGUGUGAGGGAAAUAAUUAAAUUUAGAUUUGAAAAAUGUAUUUUUCUUCUUAUUUGAAAAUUUAGUUUUUAAUAAUUUGUUUAAAUAUAAAUGUAUAUAGUUCCCACACAAAUCUUGGAGCUAUAGAAUUUAGCUAUUGCAAUUUUUAUUUAUUCAUUGUAUACUUACGAUUUAGUAUUAAUGUGAUUUAGUACUGAUUCUUUUGAGUUAGAUAUCAUUUACAUGCAACAAAAAUUGUUAUAAUUUGGAAUUGAACCUUGUAUUUUCCUACUCAUUUUAAAUUUCGAUUGUUAAUAGUUUAUUUAAACAUAAAUGCAUAAAAUGGUUGCACAAAUCUCAACUGUAUAGAAUUUAGUUAUUGCGCUUGAAUUUAGAAUUAGAAACUCUAUUUUGCCUCUUAUUUGAAAAUUCAGUCAUUAAUAAUUUGUUUAAAUAUAGAUGUAUAUAGUUGUUGUACAAAUCUUGCAGUGCUAUAGGAUUUAGCUAUUGCAUUUUUUUAUUUAUUAUAUAUUUAAUAUUUAAUGUUGAUAUGAUUUAAUACUUAUUCUUUUGAAUUAGAUAUCAUCUAUAUGCAACAAAAAUUGUUAUGAAGCCGGAAUUGAAAGUUGUAUUUCCCUACUCAUUUUAGAUUUCAAUUGUUAAUAGUUUAUUUAAACAUAGAUGUAUAAAAUGAUUGCACAAAUCUCAAAUAUAUAGAAUUUUGAUAACUCAUUUUUUUUCUAUUUAUUGUAUAUUUUGAGUUAGAUAUCAUCUCGAUGCAACAAAAUUUGUGAUUAAAUAUGUUUUUUUCCUUUAGAUGCUUGGUUGUCAUUUGAUAGCUAAUUUUUCAGUUUAACUAAAAUCACAGAGAUGGUAACGGUGAAAAUUUCAUUAGAGGUCAUGUUGCAAAAAAUCACUAAUAAAUUAAGUCUUUCUAGACCAGUUUAUGAGAUGAAGGUCAGAGCUAAUGGUUGUCUCGGGUCUUAUACAGACAUAGCGCUAGGAUGUGAGGAUGUGUCAUCUAAUAUUGUUAGGAUCUGGGGAUGUUUCUAAAAAGAUCAAAAUGAGUCGGAUGAAAUUGCUGCCGGAUUUGCAAUAAACAAAUUGAAAGAGGAAGUUUAACAUUGAAAUUGAAGAUUUUAAUUUUGAAGAUAAGGAGUAUUAUAAAUAUUUGUAUCAAAGGAUUAAUGCCGCUCAUGACAAUCUCGAGCAUGAGUAUAAACAACUACGCUGCAAAAAUAGAAGAGAAGAUACAAUACAAAAAUCUUAUAGUGUGACAACUGCUGCUUAUGACUGCCUGCACACUGAUUCCCAGAUUGGGUCAUUUAGACUGCAGUGAGAGUUCUGCUGCAGUCUAAGUAGAGAUAAAGCUAUUCCUAGUAAUUGUCACCAAUAAUGUGCAUUUCAGUCUAAAAACAUAUUAAUUAGACUUAAGGGAAAGGUCGAUGGAUGCUGAAGUUUACAAACGGCACGAAAAGAUUAUAUAUUAUAGAAAAAGGCAUAUACAGCAGUAUCAAGACAAACAAAGAAUCAAUGGACUUCAAAUUGACCACUUUACAGAUUAGUCACUCUUACAAAGAAACAUCCCUAGAACACUUAUCUGACCGACUUAACGUAGGAAAGCUUCAAAACAGUUGCACACUUCCGCUUAAGACAGUUAAAUAAGACCCAAUUGAUAAGUACAUAAAACUAAAAGCCAAAUAUAGAUUGGUAAUAUGUAUGCCAGGAUCAUCCCCUCCCUGCUUUACCAUGCCGUUGAUUUCGGAAAAUGCCAAGAAGAUUCUGUGCCUGCAAAACAGGAAGCAAGAUUCACAUCUUAGGGUUGCCGUCGACCAAUUUAAUCAAUUAAUUAGACUUAAUGCAGAUGGAAGGAAUAAAUAAAUAAACAACAGAAAUUAUUUUCACACCCUUUCUUUAAAAUGAAAUUAUUGCAUAACAAAAUAAAUUGCAAUUUUUUAAUCUUAACUCUUAAGCUUUUUAAACCAACGUGCACCAGAUGAUACUGUAUGCCAGUUUCAUAAUAAGAACCCAGUUGCUAUGAUGGCGUAGAGCAAAUUCAAUCCGUAUCAUAUAACAAUCUGAAUAUAUUUUGAUAUUAACCUCACACAAGUAUCAAAUACAAAAUUCAUCCCAAAAUCAUCCCAAUGGCAUAAAUUACUGCAAUACAGCAUGCAAAGGUCCACUUGAGUAAACCAUUCAUAAAAUUCCCUUUGAGCAUAAGGCAGAAACAUUUAGUAGUAAUCCUACAAACCAAAAAGCAAACAAAAUAAAAAAAACAUCCGUCAAUAAACAAAAACAACAUGGCAUAAGUUUGGAUGCAGAUGAAACCAUCAUUUCCUGACUUUAUAUGAUUUUUAAAAUAACAAAUCAUGAUUUUAUAAUACUGGGGCUUGGUUGUGCAACUAAUCUCCUAAAAGUCCAAAGACCAUGAAACUGAAAAUUUCUACUUUGCAAAGAAUUUUCCAAUUUGCACCCUUUUUCCCUCUUCCAUGUAACUUUUCUUCAUUUCUGAGCCUCUACGUUAACAACCAAAGGAACGUUAAGCAUAGCCAUGAACAACAAGUGAUAAUUUACACUAGCAGCAUGUUUUCUUCUGAAUAAAAAGAAGUAAAAGUAAUAUGCAACAUUUUGAUAACAAAUGAAUAUGCAUACAAGUAUGCCUCUCUCUCUAUAUAUAUAUGAAUCAAGGGAUGUCUGUCUCGUUUGUCUAUGCAGGAGUUCCUGAACCUUUUUAUACAAUUCCAUCCAGUUUGCCCAGAUCUUACUCUCCUCUAUUCCAUCCUUUCAAAACUCUCUUUAUUAUCACCUCCUCAAGACCCACAUUAAACAUGACCAGACAAAACCAGGAUUUUACUGAAGCAAGGCAACAUUAAAAACAUUAAAAAUAAUAUUGAACUUUUUGCCCAAAAAAUAUAAUUUGCCAUGGAGAUUUGUAGGACAAUAUAAUGUAAACUUCACCAUAUGAAGCCUUUCACUAGGAGAAGUCAUAAUAAUUUCAUGCAGUGGAGAUCCAAUUUGAUUAUUUAAUUAUUAAAAAAGCAUUUAUUUUUUAAUUAUAUCUAUGCUUAAUUGAAAGUCAAAAUAAAUAAUGGUUAUUAAUAUGUGUAAUUGAUACAGAAGGAUCAUAAAAUCAUAAAACCUAUUGUGCACCAUUUUGGCUACCUCGGGUAGCUCUAGAUAGGUUUCAAGAGUAAAAUUCACCAUAAAGACUGAAUUGCGGAUCAAAACUUCCGGCGGCCAUAACUUCCCUCGAUGAUGUCUGAUUUCAGUGCACUUUUAUUUGAAAUUGAGUAACUUUUGAAGAUCUCUUGGAGUGCGACCACCCCCCAAGGGUUCAUCACACCCUGCUAACAAUAAGGUUUGACGAUGUUUAGGCCUCAAAAUGUGUUAGUCAAAGUAUAAGCUUCCAUUUUGGGAAAGACUAUGACCGGGUAUAUCUUCCAGAAAAGAAUUGGGUGACACAAUAAAAAGCUAAAUUGAUGAGAUCUAGCUCUAGUAAAAUUUUAAUUUUUUCAUGAUUAUUUAUACCAGUCAUUUGCUAUUUAGUAGAAACGGUAACCUCUUUUAAUUAGAAUAGAACUUUGCCCUGGAUUUUGAAAAGGCAAAACUCGCUCAUAUAAAUAAAGGAUCUAUGUGACAAUUCUAUGGCUGCUUUCAAAAAUUCUUAAUAUUCUUUAUUAUUUUAUUUUGGUAGAUUUGAGUUGAGCAUGUUGAAAAAAAUCCCUUCUUCUCCUUGAUUGGAUCAUUAAUUGAAUAAUUAAUUCAAUCAAAAGAUUUAUUGUUCAUCAAACAAAUCUAAGAAGAAGAAACAAGGUAGGAAUUGUGAGCAUUUGCAUUACCUUGUUUGAUGCUAAUGUCUAAGAUCCUAUGACAAUUUUGACGGCGAGAGGGAGGGAGGGAGGGAGGGGGAGAGAGAGAGAGAGAGCAUUCAAGCAUUGUUGCAAAUCAUGUUUGGUCUCUUUAAAACCCAAAUGCAUGCCUACAACAAUUAAUCGCUAUAUAAUUUCUAAAAAUUCUGGCUUGGAUGAAAGGUUCUAGUUCUCCUUCCUAUUUAGUUUAUCCUCUAGAAGGAAACAGGAGGAUAUUUCGAGCACUUUUAAUUUCCUUCUUUUCAGUGGACUUAUGAACUUAUAGAGAGAGAGAGAGAGAGGAGCUUGGUGCAUGGGAUUAGGAGCAACUGUAAGCACUCUAACUGGUAAGGCUAGAAAGAAAGUGAAAGUUAUUGCAUAAAAUUAGAAGAAAGAUUAGAGAACAACCAAACAAAUCAAAUGAGAUUUAUUGCUUUAUCAUACAGAUGGCAUGUUACUAAUUAAAGCCUCCAAACAAGUAAAGACUGGCGCAUUUGAUUUAACCCUCAUAUAUUGGUUUUUCAGCUCAUCCUUGCAAAAGUCAUUAGACAUCUACCUCAACAAUCUAAUCAUUGUUAUAUACAUCUUGCCUUCUCAGAAUCCUUGGACACUGUUAUUUUAAGUAAUGUCCUGAACCAGGUGACUCAAGAUCUUAUAAACCAUGUUUUCCUUUAAACUGUCAAGGAACACACCUAGUAACACUUUUCCACAAAUGCGCACUCAUCAAAAUGUAAUAUCUUCAAAGUAGAGGACCGACUUCAGCACUUGGUUCAUGAAUCACAUGACCAAAGUAAGCAUAUCAAGAAGGUCAUAAGGCAUUACAAAAAUCAAUAGAAGCGUUUUUUUUCAUGAAAGCUAUCUUUGAGUCAUUCAUUCAGAUUGGACAAACAUAAGCAUUAUCUUUCUUCGAAAAUGAUGUGAGACACCGUUGAGCAUGUCGAAUGUGUUGUCUACUCUCUGAAUAAAAAAGAAAAAUAGGGCUUUAAUCUUCUUCACCACUUGGCCAAAUCCACCCACAUGUGUCACAGAGCCUGGCUUGGAAUUAGCACCAAAAAUGCAUGAGAUGAUGCUCACCGACAAAUUAGUUCACCAACACAAGUUCUUUAAAAGCCGCAGAACUUGCCUUUGAAAGCCUUCAGGACAUCCUAUAUUGAGCCUGAUUUGGAAGGACAGCUUCAAAUAUCGAAUAAAUGAAGUGAGAACUUAACUUUCGGGCAACAAAUCUAGUAGAUGCCAUUUAUAGUGAUGCCUCUAAUUUCAGCAAAAAGCAGGCAUAUUUUCAUAUUAUGUCCUUCCAUGUAUUACUAACGGAAUCACAAUCAAAAUUUUUUCUAGCUCUUCCAAUGAUUCUAAAAAAUUAAUUGAUGGUCUUCCUUCUCCUUUUUUCAGCUUGUUCCCCCUUAAAGUAUUUGCAUAGUCCAUGACAAAAGUAUAGGCGAUCUAUUUCCAAUAAACAAUGUGUAUGUAUCUCAACGCCAUGAACUUUGUACGUGAUAAGAGAUCAUAUCUUCAACAUCACAAUCUACAUUAUCAGCAAAAUUCUUUCCAACAAAAAAGUUCAACUUGAACAAAUGAUCAACAUGUCAACAUGUAACUUACAGCCCUUCUUUAGCUAAUAAUCCUAUAAGGAGAAGGAUGUAACAUGGAAAUUAAAUCCAAUGAUUCCACCCUGGUAAUAUAUGUUUCAAUAUGUAUCUGGGCCUAAAAGAAGAACUUCGGGAAUACUUUAUAGCCCAAAGAUGAAUGUAACAGCCUUAAAAUAGACAUUCGCCAAGUAAAAAUGGAACCUCUGUCAUUCAGACACUAUGAAUGGUCGCAUUAUUUAUUCAUUAACAAAAAGAAACAUACAGCAUGCACCAUCCUUUCUUCUGCAUCUUCCCUCCCUUCUUCCUACCUUUCUCCAUGAUUUCUUUAUCUGUGAUAUUCUAUUAGAUGACUAUGAUCAGAUUAUAAAAGGGUAGCAAGCUAAUGCAGCAUUGAAUUUCUCCUAUCGAGGAAACACAAAGUGAAUCUAAAACAAUUUGUCAGACUUGGUAUAUACAUAAUAUUAGACAAACAACAAGGAUAGUGUAUUCAGAAAGAGGAAGAUGUAAGUAUUCAAAUCUAUUUCCAGAUUUUACAUCUUUGUAUGAGGGUCUACAUGUAUUCCUUGUCAGACCCUUCAGACCACUAAAUACUUGUUCAACUCCCAUUACAUUAUUACUAAGGCCUUUCCAAAAAUAAGAACAGCAUUUCUCCAGGCUACCCAAUCAAAAUCCAUUUGUGUAUUUGACUAGGAUGUUAUUACUCCUACAGCACCCUGCCCCCCCCUCUCUCAAAGAAUUUUUUUUAAAAAAAAAUAAGAUCCAUGAGAUCCCUACACAAUAUUUCAAAAUCCCAACCAAACAGUUAUACGGCUGCUGCAAACUUUAAUUAUGUAACACUUCACAAUCUAAUCAUAAACUGAUAUCAUAUCCCUUACAAAUAACAUACAGCACAAUAUGCAUAUAGGUGCAAUACGAGAUGUAGACAAUCUUGCAGACACAAGGAAAAUGUUUUGCAGAAAUCUUGCAGCCCAUCAACACCAAAUCCCAUCUUUUUUGGAUAAAGUAAAUCACCUUGGAUAAGAAUCUGUUAUAUCUGAGAAAUUUGGUUGGGGAAGAACAAAAACAAGCCAAUCAAUUCUCUUAAAUUCCUCUUUUUUGUCCCUUUCAAUGUCAACCCUUGUCAUCCAGACAGUGAGUUCCAACAUCUUAGCAGGCCAUAAAAAAAGGUGCGGCUUAGCAUGGCAAGGUACAUGUCAUGUUAGCAUCUUACCGGAACACAGCACUAGGAUGAUGCUAGCCAUGUGCUUCUACUUGGGACACCACCAUGCAGUCUGUCCCAAUCACUGGCACCACACAUCACAAAAUAAAAGAAUACAUCCAUGACAAACUGGAAAGCAUAGCACUGACAUGAUUUUUAGAUCCUUGGCCAAAGAUGCUAAAGGAUUGUUUGGAUGAGUGGAUUUCCAAUCUGUUGAUAGCUUAGGUCAGCAGCUGCCACAAUCUCAAUGAAAAUAUUAUUAGUGUUGGCCUGGUGGAGGGAGACGGCCAAGCUCUUGCAAUCACUUAGCUUUUAAGAUAAUUUAUUCCAUCAGAAAGCCAGUUUACCUUAUCCCUAAACUUUAGGGAUUUGGGAGCCGCAAGGUUUCUCAGUCAGGCAAAAAACCCUCUCCUUACCCUGCUGAGCUAUUCCCUCUCUUAACCAUAAAGGGAACAUUCCAUGUAUAGCCUGAAAGAGCAUCCAAAGAACCCCUAAAUCUUAAAGUAGGCUCACUGCUAUAGAAUAUUUAUUGGAGUUGCCAAAGCUACCCAUUACUCCACAUCUUUAAUCUACAAACAUCACCUCUGUUGGAAAUCAAACAACUACAACAAAACAUAUUAUAUAUCAAGGGUUUUAUACCUAUCCCCAUACUGGUUUUGUCCCAGAACAGUAUGAUAUCAGUAUGCUCAGGAUGCAACAAGAUAGUAUCAACAAUAUCAAAAAGCAACCAGCAUGCAACUUGUAUGGUUGGUACAUAUUGCAGGUACACAACCAUUAUGGACCAUUUAAGAGGGAAUCAGUGUUCUGCACCCAUACUAGAAUCAUUUGUCUAUCACAACAUCGGCAGAACCAAUACCAGGCACUGUACCGGUUCUCUGAUGGGACAAAUCGGUAUGGACCCGCGUCGUGCCAUGUUGGGACUGUAUCGACACAGUAGAAGAGGCGGGGAAGAGGGAGAGUGAGAGAGGAAAAGAGAGAGAGAGGGGGAGGGAGGGAGGCCAGAGGAGGCCGAUGGAGAGCGGUGGAGGGCCGGUGGAGGCAACCGGAGGCCGGCGCCGAGGCAGCAAGGGGAAGCCGUGGCCGUCUUGCCGACUUCACUUAAAAAUCACGAAAUUAAAAGAGCGGCCGGACCCAUAUUUCGAACGAAACAGGGGAACGACCACGACUUCCCCUUGCUGCCUCUCCGCCGGCCUCCCUCCCUCUCCCUCUCCCUCUCCCUCCCUCCCCCGCUCGCUCUCUUUUUUCCUUCUCCUUCUCUACCUCCGGCAAUGGUUUUCAUUUCCAUUACCAGUACUAUACAGGUGGGCCGCCGAAACUGUACCGGUGGGCCGCCGGUACGGCUCGGAACAAUCGAAAUCAUCUGGUUCGGGACGGUUCUGCCGACCCGAAUAUAUCGUAAUGGUAUAGUGCUCAUGGUACCAUACCAAACUGGUAGUAUUUAAUCCUUGCGAUAUAUGCUUUCCAAGUUAAAAAAACCAUACAUAGAUUCUCGUCACUAAAUUUUUCACUGGUCACUAUAACAUAUGUUCCUGAUGAAAAGAUUAAAAGAAUCGAUCCUUGACUAUUAUUGUCAUCUUUCAAUCAAGGAUUAAAGUAUUAUUUGUUGUGCCCAUGCCAAACAUAGCUUCGCAUGGUAUGGGCAUGCAGUGCUGAAUUUUGAUGGCCACUUGCCCAACCAUGUAUAUGGGCUUGUGGCAAUCAAAAUGGGUCCCUGCCAAUUCAUGCUGCACUACCACAUACUAGCAUGAGCCUAUAUGGACUGACAUACAUACCCAUGCUGAUACAAGCACAACACGAUGCCCUAUUCCAUGCCUUCAACAUCAAUAUUCAAUCCUCCUUACCUAUAUCUUCAUAUUUUACCCCUAUGUCCUGUAAGGCAAUCCACCCGAUUUCGGAAACAACCUUUCUUCUUACAAAUACUAUAUUUUCCUUAUUUCAAGCUCUCACUAAAUAAAUUUUGUUAACCAAAUAAAAUCGAGUACUAGCCAUAAUUGAAUUCCUCAUUUUCCUAAACUUUCUUCUCAUUUAACAGCAAUUUCAGUGCUUGCUACUUCAGUCAUCUGAAAUAUAAGUGGUAAAUAUAUGGUUCCUCUAGUUCAGUCCUCCAGGUGUCCUUUCCAGUGGCUUCUAAAGAACGAAAAUAAUCUUACCAUCUUCAAUAAACCUCACUCCCUUCUCAAACGUAUACUGCCUUACACCCAAUGCACAUAAUUUGAUGUACUAGGAAAUUUUGUGCACAUGCAGUGCAUCUGUGCAUGUGCCAUUUGAUAGCUUAAUUUUGAUAUAGUUCAACAAUCAAACUGUCACUAAGUUAAAGAAUAGAAGUGGUAUGUCUUUCUAAGAUUCCUCUUAUUUUAAGAGCAAAAACUCUACAACCACAUAUUCAUAUGUAAUAAUGAUAUAUCUUCAACCAGAUUGCCUUUAAAAAAGUAUGCCAAACAAAACUACAAAAAAUAUAUAAAAAGUAUAGAUCAUAAGUAGUAAUGGUUCCAAAGAGCUAUCCAAAUAUAUUUUUAAAACUAAUGGAAAGUUGGAAUGAUCAAAGAAUAAAAGACACCAAUACUUUGAUACCACUUAUGAAUUCCAGAAACUUCUAUACCAGAAGUAUGGAAAUAAAGGAGGAAGGGAAAUUGAAAGACAUUAAAAAAAUAAAGGUUGCAUUAAUCAAAGAGAUCAUAGAACAGCAACAAUACUACCACUUACAUGUGGCCGAAUAUUGAGAAAAUUUAUAUAUGAGAACUAAUCUCCGAUUCAUAAAUCUAAAAUGAUGAAAAUUUUGGAAAUAUAAACAGAAGAGGCGCCUAUCAAAAAACAUAAAACAUGCUUAUGUACAUACAAACACAAAAAAAUAAAUGAUGAUGAAAUGAAAAUACCUUUUCUUUAGCUCGUGGUGUCCCUGACUGUGAUAAUGCUACUAGUGGUGGCACGGCACCUUCUUGGAGAACUUGAGUACAAAAUCUAUUGCUAUUUAUACAGAGUUGAAGCAAAGCUGCAGCAGCAUUUUCUUUCCCUCUUGCAGAUCCCAAUUCAACAACCUCCACAAGGGCAGGGAUUCCACCUAAAUGACCAAUUGCUCCCCUCCCUUCUGCUAUAGUCGCAAGGUUUGCCAAAACAGCCACAGCCUUAUCAACCAUGCCAGCAGCUGGGUCCAUCAGCUCUACUAAGUGCUUCACAGCCCCAGCCUGCACUAUACGAGCCUUGUUCUCAUGAAAUAUCGAUAAAUUAAACAAUGCUGUUGCAGCAUCUUUCUUUCCUCGAGGAGUCCCAUUUCCUAAUAAUUCAACCAGAGGUCCGAUAGCACCAGAUCGUCCAAUCCUAACCUUAUUGUCUUCAAUUACUGAAAGGCUAAAUAAGGUUGCAGCAGAGUUCUCUCUUGCUUCAGGAUUCCCUGCCUCAAGAACAUGGAUAAGAGGAUCAAUGGCACCAGCAUUUGCAAUGAUAGUCUUGUUGUUGUCAUUGAUCGAUAAGUUCAGAAGUGCUGUUACAGCAUUCUCCUGAGUCUUAGGGUCCGUUGAACGAAGCAGAUCAACUAACGAGCUUAUAGCUCCACAUUUUGCAAUUACAAUUCUAUUUUCCAUGUUGUGUUUAGCAAGAAAGCGCAGCUCUUCUGUAGCAGCUCUCUGCACAUCAACUGAAUCACUUUUCAAAUCCUCAAUCAGUUUUCGAACUUGGGUCUCAACACCAGAUAGGUCAGGCCUGGAAUCCAUAGAUGAAGAUGUUAUGAUCCUGGGGAUAGAUGACCGUCGAGAAAUGGUUUGGCUUCUAGAACGAGCCUCACCCAACCUUGGAGGGAAUUCUGGUUCUCUCUGAGGAGUGGAGGAAACCGGAGUCUCUCGUGUAACUUCUCCUGAGGUAUCACUGCUGUCAUGUGUAAGAUCACUGGAAACUUGUGACACCACAUUUGCAUCUCCAGUACCUGGAAGAUAAUCAUUACUUGAAACAGCACUUGAGGCUGAGACACUUCGGUUAUGGCCCUGUAACUGCUCAUCAACUACGGAGGCUUGAGAAUCCUGUUCGGGUUCGUUAGCAGUUUGGCCACCAGAAUCAACAUGCCUCUCUCCCAAGCUAGGUGAUAAUCUUGCAAUAUUUGCAUCACACCCAUUUGCAAUUUGCAAAGGUGCUGCCACAGGUAGGGAACUAUGUUGAGAAGACAAAGGCUUCUCGUGCAGAGAACUGUCUUUGAGGACUCCAUUGGACGAGUGCGAAUCCUUAUGUGAACUCACUAUACACCUGUCAGAUUCUGGUGAUCUUGGAUGGCUAGUCCUUGGAGAAUGACCAGAAUGAGGAACAUGGCAAUCAUUACUACUUGAAUCAAUGGGGCUAAGAAAAGAUGAAGGGUGAUUCAUAUUCACGAGUUUUACGGGAUGCGGAAGCUUGAUGUCAUUUGAUUCACACCAGUUGGCUAUUAAUGCCUUGACAGUAUAGUUGGGAAUCAAAUUAGUGUGACCGAGUGUUUGAUGCGUCUUGGGGCAAACAUUGAAACCUUGAUCAAGCCAUUUUCUAAUAAAAGCCCGCUCAUAUGUUUGGCCAGAUGCCACAAUCACCGGGUCAGACAUCAGUUCUAGGGAAAGUGGGCAGCAAAAAUCAGCAGGAAUCAGCACCCCAUUAAUGCUGUGCACCUGUUUUAUUUUAACCAGGCACUCAUGCAUAUGAGUGACAAGUGCAAUCAUAUGAUCAAUCUGUUCUACUUGGUUUUCGCCAUUGCCAACCUUCACUUUAAGCUUCUCAAGGGCAACAGCCUCCAUCAGCAAUUCUUGAUUAGAUGACAAGCUCAAAGAGUUUGAAAUUUUAUCCAAAUGCUCAGGCCUAGGAGUAAUCUUCUCCCUCUGAUCUCUUAAGGCCUCUUUGAUGACAUCUGAUAUCUGGUCAUUAUGCAUAUGCUGAGUUUUCUGCACACAAUGCUGAAAUGGUUGGUCCAAAGAAACCUCAAUCAAAAAACAGACAACGGAGCUAAAUAUAUCACGAUGAGAUGGAAGAAUAAAGAGCAGUUCAAGUUUCAUAUGUGUCUCAUUACCUCGAUAGAUGUUGAAGUAGAAGUAACUAUCACAGAUGGAAGCAGAGAAUUAAGUAGUUGGCAUACUUCAAUAGCAUAUUUUUGAAUAUUUGUUAUUAUGGAUUCAAUCUGCAAGACCUGGGAACAGCAAUUCAAAUUCCAGUUAGAAAAUAACAGCAUUGAUGAUUCUUUGGGCAUUACCAUAGCAACAUGCUCUUCAUUACACACAUAUCUCAUUGAAUUUAGCAUAUGAAAGCCAAUUGAUAGUGAUGUGUCAUUAAUGCAUGAAACGAAAGGUAUUGACAUUACUGAUAAAGUAACUUAACAUCAUAUAUCACUUAUGGAGGAUCUGAUCGGGUGGGGGCUACUUGAUGAUAGAGGAUCAAGCUGCCUAGAGCGCUGUAAAAGUAUAUAAAUAGUUGAACUUAAAAACAAGAAGUCUUUCUCCAAAAACACCAGCAGAAAAACAAAAUAUGAGCAUAUAACCUUCAGUCCUUAAUGACCUUAGAAGUUUUAACAAUCCUUACAUUUUGCAGAAGGUGUUUCUCAUGUUUUAAUAUUUUAUUUAGUAAAAACGAAUGGCUUCAAAAAUUACUCUAUAAUCCAGUUCCACAUUCUUCCAGCCCACGUUUAAAUAGCUUACUCUCCAAUUGCAGAGGUUAGAUACGCAAUCCAGUACUGUCCUCUUACAAGUUAAAAUUGUUAUCUAGCAAGUUAUAAUGAUGUUAGCUUUGUUUAGAGGAAGAAGGCGUUCAUAAAUAGCGAGCUCUAAAUUAACAAACUAAAUAUUUUACAUUUCCAACAUUGCUGCAGACAUGUCAAGCUUGGAGUUGAUAUGAAUCAAAACUAAAACCUGGGGGCAGAAUCUGGCUAAAAUUUCACUGUGUAAUCCAGGAAAAAACAUUUCCAGUUGAAUGGUGACAACAAUAACAUUAAAUGAAUUGUUCUGAACAAAUACAAUGAAGAAAUCAGCUUAUUAUGUGCACAGAACUUACCUUUCAUGCAAAGAGAGACAUCGAAAAGAUAACAGUCCAAAAAGUUAUUGGUAAGACACAUUUUUUAAUAACAGCAGCAAAUGAUUUCUUCCAGAAAAAAUAGGCUAAGUUUCCAAAACCAGGUCAAGGUGACAUACAAAAUAAACUUUACUCAUGGUAGGGUGCCAGCUCCCAAUAAGUUCUCUGGCUUCAUUGACAACACCAUCAAGUUCUUCCAACAGCUUAAUUAGAUUCCCAUCUGAUGAUAUCUCAGAAGCCACAGCUUGAUCAAGCACAGGUUUCAAACACUCCAAGAUUUCAUCAAUUUUCUGGAAGUAUCUUUGAACCAGCUCGGAUUUUAUAGAGUUACUAGAUGACAAAAGAUCAAAGCGUGCAAUGCUACUGAGCAGUGUCUUUAGCAAUGAUAUCUCCAUUACACCUGUUGCAAAAGCAAAAACAUGAGUAUACUUCAAAACAGUCAUGCAUCUGUAUAGAAACUUGUAACUCCCUCUUGGAACAAAAUAAGAACUUCCAGCUCCAGGAAAUUCUUACAAAAGGACAUCUGCACAACAAGUUUGAGUAAUUUAGUAUACCAAAAGAAGUUAUUUAUUUUUUGUAAUUCGUGUCUGAUGCCAUGAAUUCUGCUACUCACACUGAACUGGAAAGUGAAAUGAAUCUGAGGCAAAUGACAAAAAAAUUGUUAUAAAAUGUACAAUCAAGAGCCUCACAAAAUUGACAGUCAUGUAUGUUUGGUUUCAUCAACCUAAAUGGUAAAAACAGCAUCUAAUGAAGAGUAAUUUCCCAUCUAUCAAAAAAGAGUUAAGAACUAAUAUACAAUUUCUCUUAAGCAACCAUCAUAUACGUUUAUAACGCAUCAGAUAGUGUAUUUACUUGUUCUCUUGAGUAUUUAUAUGGUGGACUAUGGGUUGGCAUCCUCAGUGAAUUUAUUGUCUUUCAAGUUCAGUUGUUACUUUUAGAUUUCCUAAUUGUUAAUAACAUUUGUUAUAUAAAGCUGGUAGAAGUAGUCAUUUGGCUAGUUUUGCACCACUAUUCAAUGCAAACAUUUCCUAGACUCUCUCAUAUUAAAAAUUUCUUAGACAUCCACUUCCCUGCUUUUUCCCCCCAAUGCACUUGCCCAUCCACUGCUGGUUCAAGGCUUCAAGGCUCAAGCAACUAUAAGCUGGAUUUGUCACAAAGCUGAUAAAUAUAUAUAACCUAUAAGUUUGUUCUUUCCAUGUUGUAUAAAUUUUCUGGUGAGCUACAACAUGAUAAUGAUUUACCAUUCUUGAUUGUUUUUAACUACGAUAUCAAUGAUCUUUUGUAAUUCCUGAACCAUUCACCACUUUAGCUUUCAGUGGGAUUGUUAUUAGGAAUUUUUAUUGAUUAAAAAUUAAUAUUUUCUUUUUGAAGCAAUUUUUAUCACAAAUUUUUCAUGGAUCAUUAUCCUUCAUAAAGUAUGAAAAAUUCUUAUUCCGAGUUCAAGAAAAAGAAGUGAUUUCUCCUAAAUCUAUACCCAUAAGGAAAAGAGAAAAAGCAUUUUGCUGGCACCGCAAAUGGUUAGUUGCUCAACCAUUGAACAUAUUCUAGGGGGAAAGAAUAAGAUUUCACUCAUCAAGUGCUGAACUUCAAGAAAAGAAGUGAUUUCUCUCCUAACUUCCUAUCCUUAAGAAAGGGAAGAAAAGCAUUUGGUUGGCAUUUGGCAAAUCGUUAGUUGUGUGACCAUCGAGCAUAUGCUAGAGGGAAAAGAAUAGGGUUGCACUCAUCAAGUGCUCAACCCCAUUUGUGGUUGGUUUUUUUUUUUUUUUUGGGGGGGGGGGGGGGGGGGGGGGUAUGCUCAAUGUACAUCUGAAAAUUGUUCUCAGAUUUGCAGUCAUCCUCAUAUUAUGCAUUACACAAUCUUGUACCAUAAUCAAUAUCCAAUCACAUCAUUGUAGGUUAUUGAUGACACAGGAAUCAAUCCUUAAAUUAGUAGACUAAAAAACCAUACAAGAUCAAGGUUUACAGUGGAAAGCUUCAAGUUCCCUGACAUCCAUUUCCAGAGUUCGGAUGCUUAAUUAUGCGGGUAAAGAUCUGAUUAUUUUAGCCAAGCAUCAAAAUUGUUCCUUCACAUAGCUGUUAGUGUUACCUUUUUUAAUAUCUAUUGGAUAUAUUGAUGCAAAAUUAUAAUCUUUUGUCUCACUGCGAUUAUUAAACAGCAAUUCCUACGCUCUCCACAUCUUGCACUUUUUUUAAUGCUUGCAAAAAAUGUUUUGCGAGCAGUUCUUCCCAUUUGCUCCCUCUCUAACUCUCAUUAUGAUAUCAUGGAAAGGUUUAUAGAAUAACGCACUUGUCCAUUCGAAUGUCAUCUAUCUCAAAACCUUUAAAAGUAUAAAACUUAAGAAAGCUGAUUUUUGAAGAGGUCAAAUGGUUGAAAUAGUUUAACAGGCUUAAGGAUGUAAUUUUAGAUCAUGGAAACUUUAUAACUCAUCUUUGCAAUGCUUUCCACAUGCUUGCCCCCCCAUCACUAUCCCACUUGAACCCUCCAAUGCUCAUUCUUUGUCCUAAACCGCUCUUGAUCCGACUUCCAAAUAUUUGCACUCUUUCUCUCUCCCUGUGUGUGUCUAUAUGUGCACAUGCACUUAAAAAUACAUCCUACCAAUGGACAAAGUAUCAAGUGGUAGUCCACAUAUAUAACCAGGAGGAAUUAACAAUCAAAUUUGUGCCACAGAUUUUCAAACUAUCAUUGAAAUACAAGAACCAAGAGCAUCACUUAUAGUCAAAAUAAGCUGAAAAGAUAAGCUUCUCCAAAGCAUCAUGUCUUAUUUUGGCGUGUCAAGGCCUAGGGGUUAUAAAUGAUAUUCCUUGUCUUUAUUUCGUGUUUGAAAUAUAUAGAAAAGAUAAAAUUAGGGGUUAUGUGUAGAGUUCUAAUAUCUGAGUGCUUAAUUUCUAAUCGAGGCCAUUAACUCUGGAGAUUAUCUUCUUAGAUGAAUAUCAUAUUGUGCCUUUUCCCCUUAUUGCAUUAUGGUAUAUCAAGCGAACACACCCAUUUUAUAUCUUGUCAAAGUGUUCGGUAAUGCAUCUGAAAAAUGUUUCUAUCAGAAUAACAGAGUUUGGUGUUUGUAAAUUAACAUUUAAAUCUUCUCAAAUUUCAGUUGCACAUACCUAUCUCAUAUCCUUGAUUGACCGCCACUUAUGGUCAUCAAAUUUCAAUUCAUAUAGAUCAAAGUUUUGAAUAAGACCAUGACUUAUGAAUCAAUUAUCACUACAAUAGCGACGAAUAUAGACUACAAAAUGCCAACAGGCCAAUAAGUACAAAAUCUCAUAUAAUCAAAUAUGAACCGCAGGACCGCACAAACGAACAGAUUUGGAUACAGACAUCAAAAUUUUCAAGACGCCCUCCCAACAGCAAAGGGACCAAAACCCUACUCUACCAAUGCUAACACCCUCACAAAUUCUAAGCACAACCAUAAUUCCAAUAUCAACGCGUAGCUAAUUCUACCAGAAAUCCCAUAUCCUGGCGUGUAAGCAAACUACUUGCCAUUCAAAAUUUAAAAGAAAAAAAUCAACAAAAUCCCAUCAAGUUAGCCUAAGACGAACCAGAGACCCUAUAUAUCCAACGAAACCAUCAAGAAGAGGGCUCGACACCCCCAAAAAUCAUUCUUUCAUAACGAUUUCAAGGUUUCAAUUCAAAUGAACGAGAAAAGCACCCUGACCCUCCAGCUAAACCAUUUCCCCAGUCAAAAAGUCAGGAAAAAAAAAUAUAAAAAUCUGAUUAAUUUCCCAC
This 36811-nucleotide long non-coding RNA is filed under the name Phoenix dactylifera (date palm). Its description in RNAcentral is "long non-coding RNA (PDAC_LNC005218)". Lineage: Eukaryota; Viridiplantae; Streptophyta; Magnoliopsida; Arecales; Arecaceae. The record is from RNAcentral.